AGAUACCCGGGUAGUCCACGCCGUAAACGAUCAUCACUCGCUGUUGGCGAUAUACUGUCAGCGGCCAAGCGAAAGUAUUAAGUGAUGCACCUGGGGAGUACGCCGGCAACGGUGAAACUCAAAGGAAUUGACGGGGGCCCGCACAAGCGGUGGAGCAUGUGGUUUAAUUCGAUGAUACGCGAGGAACCUUACCAGGGCUUAAAUGUAGCAUGACCGGCUUGGAAACAGGCCUUCUCUUCGGAGCAGAUUACAAGGUGCUGCAUGGCCGCCGUCAG
Molecule: ribosomal RNA, 275 nt
Filed under: uncultured bacterium
Lineage: Bacteria
Description: partial 16S ribosomal RNA
Rfam family: Bacterial small subunit ribosomal RNA
Source: RNAcentral